CGUUAGAGAUGGGAUAAUUUUAUUUGAACAGUAUCGUAAACUGUGUCGAGUGAGAGUUUCAGGUUUCAUCAAUUAUGUACGAGAUAUUUGAAAAAAUAUCAUUCCACAAAGCUAUUAUUUGUGCAAUUUUAAAUAUUUACCGGUGUUUAUUGUAACUUUGAAGUUCGACCAGAAGUGAAGGACACUUUAUACAGGGUGCAUGUACAGUUUUAACUGUUUUAACUCUUGAUCGGAUAAAUUCUAGUAUUUUGUAUACUUUGAUUAAUGUUAGUAUCCCAAUUGCUUUUUUUCAGUUGUGUUUCACUGGUUGUUAGUCGUGUUUUUGGGCUGCCUGCAGAGUACAAUUUUUCCAUUUUGUUGUAAUAAUUUUCUGAUUUUCGCUAUGGAAUGAAGAAUAUCCUUAUCUGCUUUCUUGGCGCAGAUCGAAUCACCUUUACGGACCACGGUAAUGAGCGAAUGAUCACGGUGCUCUGGCCCAAAUGUUGGAGGAACGAGUUAAUUAUCUCUGCAUAUAACCUACAAUUAUAUAUUAAAAUUUAGUUUAGCAGGUGUUUACUUUAUGCAAAAUUUGCGAAGUUUUGUAGUUAAUAUACGUUGUAAAAUGUUAGAUUUCGGGUAAAAAUAAGUAAAAGUUUUAAGCUGUUCUUGUUAGGGCUCCAAGUACUUUUGCUUAUUGUAUACGUCAGCGUUAAAUUAUUUAAGAAGCGAAUGGACAAAAGGCACACAAUUAUAAGGUAUGGGGUGAGAGCUAGGCAAAAUGAUGUCGAAAUGGAACCAUUGCCCUUAUCCG
Molecule: long non-coding RNA, 790 nt
Organism: Cylas formicarius (sweet potato weevil)
Lineage: Eukaryota; Metazoa; Arthropoda; Insecta; Coleoptera; Brentidae
Exons: 3
Source: RefSeq, a predicted model, not a curated record